RNAcentral lists this ribosomal RNA (253 nucleotides) under uncultured bacterium. RNAcentral describes it as "partial 16S ribosomal RNA". It matches the Rfam family "Bacterial small subunit ribosomal RNA", at positions 524 to 776 of the family's 1533-position model. The record is from RNAcentral.
UACAGAGGGGGCAAGCGUUGUUCGGAAUUACUGGGCGUAAAGGGCGCGUAGGCGGCCCACUAAGUCAGACGUGAAAUCCCCCGGCUUAACCUGGGAACUGCGUCUGAUACUGGAGGGCUUGAGUAUGGGAGAGGGAUGUAGAAUUCCAGGUGUAGCGGUGAAAUGCGUAGAUAUCUGGAGGAAUACCGGUGGCGAAGGCGGCAUCCUGGACCAUUACUGACGCUGAGGCGCGAAAGCUAGGGGAGCAAACGGG